This is a long non-coding RNA of Lutra lutra (Eurasian river otter), 550 nucleotides long. RefSeq lists it as uncharacterized. The transcript has 3 exons. NCBI's taxonomy places the organism in Eukaryota, Metazoa, Chordata, Mammalia, Carnivora, Mustelidae. The record is from RefSeq and is a predicted model, not a curated record.
CGCGAAGCAGCGGAGCCCCGACAAGAAGGCGGCGUCCGGGCUGGAGCCGGGCUCCGAUGCGGCAGGCGGCGGCCAUCUUGACACGGAAGCCGCACCUGGCGCUCCGAGACGCCCGCCACGCCCCGGGUCCGCACCUGAUUGUACUUUUCCAUAUUUUUUGCUCUUCAUCUUUGGACUCUGGAGUGGUUUUUCCAUAUCCUGAUAGAAUAAUGCUAAGAUCGGUCAAAGCGACUGCAUAGAGGGCCAGGCAUUAAAGGGAAUUCCUUUUGCAAAGACACAGAGGCUGCUGGUCAGUGACCACUCUUUUUCCAAAUGCCACCACGGCUGUGUGGAUGGGAGGGGAACCAGCCUCUGACUGGACAACUCCUACUCCCAGGAGCUCAUGGCCCCUGUGCUGUGUUCUGUACAGACAACUGGCUCUUCCGGGUAGCUUCUUCAUUCCCAGUGUUUGAUAGAAUUAAGAAUUAUGAGCACAACUGGGCGCCUGGGUGGCUCAGUGGGUUAAGCCUCUGCCUUCGGCUCAGGUCAUGAUCUCAGGAUCCUGGGAUCG